This 253-nucleotide ribosomal RNA is filed under the name uncultured bacterium. RNAcentral's name for it is "partial 16S ribosomal RNA". It matches the Rfam family "Bacterial small subunit ribosomal RNA", at positions 524 to 776 of the family's 1533-position model. The record is from RNAcentral.
UACGGAGGGGGCGAGCGUUAUUCGGAAUUAUUGGGCGUAAAGGGCGCGUAGGCGGCUUGUCAAGUCAAAGGUGAAAUCCCUCGGCUCAACUGAGGAGCUGCCUUUGAAACUAGCGAGCUUGAGGCCGGGAGGGGGUAGCGGAAUUCCCAGUGUAGCGGUGAAAUGCGUAGAUAUUGGGAGGAACACCAGUGGCGAAGGCGGCUACCUGGACCGGUACUGACGCUGAGGCGCGAAAGCGUGGGUAGCAAACAGG